Long non-coding RNA from Helianthus annuus (common sunflower), 470 nucleotides. RefSeq lists it as uncharacterized. The transcript has 2 exons. The record is from RefSeq and is a predicted model, not a curated record. Lineage: Eukaryota; Viridiplantae; Streptophyta; Magnoliopsida; Asterales; Asteraceae.
AUCUUAUUUUGAUUAUUGCAGGCUUGAAACGCUUCUCAUUCCUCUCUCAACUUUCUAUGCGAUUGGAGCUUCCAUGAUAAAGAUAACCUUUCCUUUGUAUCUUACUCUGUAAAUCAAAAACCCUAAGUAUAAGUCGUUGGUGGUGAAGCAGGUCUGAUUAGAAAUUGAAGGAUCGAGACAUGCUUCUUGCUUCAUCGCAACAAAAUCAAUUUUACCCUAAAUCUACUUCAUUAACGCAUUCACAGUCUCUUUAAUGUUGUCGUCAACAUCUCCUUGGUGUUUUGGUUGCUGAUUAUUAAUCUGUUUUGAGGCGGAAAUCAGGUUCGAAAACCAGCAGUAACAACAUAUAUCUCGGAAUUGAUCUUUUAUUUAGUUUGUAAAAUGCUAUGGCUUUUUUAUGUAUACUUAAUAGGUUGAAAUCUCCAAUCUGAUUGUGUUUUCUGUAGGUAUAAACACACAUUAACUGCGUA